AAUAAGUGUAGUUUUGCACUAUUCACGUAUUCACGUAACGUUUGACCGUUCGUCUUAUUUGAAAAUUUUUUAUGAUUAGUAUUUUUAUUGCUAUUAGAUGAUAAAACAUGAAUAGUACUUUAUGUGUAACUAAAUAUUUUCAAAUUUUUCAUAAAUUUUUCAAAUAAGAAGGACGGUCAAACGUUAGGCACGGAUGGAGGUAGUAGUAAUU
Oryza rufipogon (brownbeard rice) is the source of this 211-nucleotide microRNA precursor. It matches the Rfam family "MIR812 microRNA precursor family". NCBI's taxonomy places the organism in Eukaryota, Viridiplantae, Streptophyta, Magnoliopsida, Poales, Poaceae. The record is from Rfam.